This 1466-nucleotide ribosomal RNA is filed under the name Escherichia coli. RNAcentral describes it as "partial 23S ribosomal RNA". It matches the Rfam family "Bacterial large subunit ribosomal RNA", at positions 1 to 1513 of the family's 2925-position model. Lineage: Bacteria; Pseudomonadati; Pseudomonadota; Gammaproteobacteria; Enterobacterales; Enterobacteriaceae. The record is from RNAcentral.
GGUUAAGCGACUAAGCGUACACGGUGGAUGCCCUGGCAGUCAGAGGCGAUGAAGGACGUGCUAAUCUGCGAUAAGCGUCGGUGAGGUGAUAUGAACCGUUAUAACCGGCGAUUUCCGAAUGGGGAAACCCAGUGUGUUUCGACACACUAUCAUUAACUGAAUCCAUAGGUUAAUGAGGCGAACCGGGGGAACUGAAACAUCUAAGUACCCCGAGGAAAAGAAAUCAACCGAGAUUCCCCCAGUAGCGGCGAGCGAACGGGGAGGAGCCCAGAGCCUGAAUCAGUGUGUGUGUUAGUGGAAGCGUCUGGAAAGGCGUGCGAUACAGGGUGACAGCCCCGUACACAAAAAUGCACAUAUUGUGAGCUCGAUGAGUAGGGCGGGACACGUGGUAUCCUGUCUGAAUAUGGGGGGACCAUCCUCCAAGGCUAAAUACUCCUGACUGACCGAUAGUGAACCAGUACCGUGAGGGAAAGGCGAAAAGAACCCCGGCGAGGGGAGUGAAAAAGAACCUGAAACCGUGUACGUACAAGCAGUGGGAGCCUCUUAAUGGGGUGACUGCGUACCUUUUGUAUAAUGGGUCAGCGACUUAUAUUCUGUAGCAAGGUUAACCGAAUAGGGGAGCCGAAGGGAAACCGAGUCUUAACUGGGCGUUAAGUUGCAGGGUAUAGACCCGAAACCCGGUGAUCUAGCCAUGGGCAGGUUGAAGGUUGGGUAACACUAACUGGAGGACCGAACCGACUAAUGUUGAAAAAUUAGCGGAUGACUUGUGGCUGGGGGUGAAAGGCCAAUCAAACCGGGAGAUAGCUGGUUCUCCCCGAAAGCUAUUUAGGUAGCGCCUCGUGAAUUCAUCUCCGGGGGUAGAGCACUGUUUCGGCAAGGGGGUCAUCCCGACUUACCAACCCGAUGCAAACUGCGAAUACCGGAGAAUGUUAUCACGGGAGACACACGGCGGGUGCUAACGUCCGUCGUGAAGAGGGAAACAACCCAGACCGCCAGCUAAGGUCCCAAAGUCAUGGUUAAGUGGGAAACGAUGUGGGAAGGCCCAGACAGCCAGGAUGUUGGCUUAGAAGCAGCCAUCAUUUAAAGAAAGCGUAAUAGCUCACUGGUCGAGUCGGCCUGCGCGGAAGAUGUAACGGGGCUAAACCAUGCACCGAAGCUGCGGCAGCGACACUAUGUGUUGUUGGGUAGGGGAGCGUUCUGUAAGCCUGUGAAGGUGGCCUGUGAGGGUUGCUGGAGGUAUCAGAAGUGCGAAUGCUGACAUAAGUAACGAUAAAGCGGGUGAAAAGCCCGCUCGCCGGAAGACCAAGGGUUCCUGUCCAACGUUAAUCGGGGCAGGGUGAGUCGACCCCUAAGGCGAGGCCGAAAGGCGUAGUCGAUGGGAAACAGGUUAAUAUUCCUGUACUUGGUGUUACUGCGAAGGGGGGACGGAGAAGGCUAUGUUGGCCGGGCGACGGUUGUCCCGGUUU